Molecule: long non-coding RNA, 880 nt
Organism: Dunckerocampus dactyliophorus (ringed pipefish)
Lineage: Eukaryota; Metazoa; Chordata; Actinopteri; Syngnathiformes; Syngnathidae
Exons: 3
Source: RefSeq, a predicted model, not a curated record
GCAAGAGAGAAAGGAGAAAAUGCCGAUUGCCUGUUGCGAAUGGAAUUGCACCAACCGGUUUACAAUCCAAGCAAGAUCUCACGGGAUUACCUUUCACAGGAGUCCAUUCCGACAGGUUGUUUCAUCUGGAGAUGAACGUAAGAAGCGAGAUGAGGAAGAGGCUGAAGGAGAGUUUUGCCGUGCCGUUCUUCAGUAGGACCUCAACAGGAUAAUGGUCACUGACCAUGAGUGCCUGAGUGCAACAGAAACACUUCAGAACAAAUCUCGUAACAAGAAGUCGGACGCCUUGUCCAGAAUGUUUUCCCAAGUGGUCGAGGAGUCUCCAGUGGGACCCAUCAUCCCAAGCGCUCAUGAUUGCUGGCGAAGCAUGUGAUGGACGCUGGCAAAGACCUGCCCAUUCCGGAUGGCUGCCUUCCAGGUGGCCUUUUUGUUGCCCCAGAUCUAUGUUCCAACGCUCUGGAGUGUGCUGACAGUUUGAGGGUCGCACGCUAUCCCGGUUUUAACCGUACCUUGUUCCUGCCCACCCAGACAUUUGGUGGCCGUUUGCUCAUUCCGACAUCAAGGAGUUUGUUUGCUCCAAUAUUGCUUGUAACAGGGCCUCCCAUCAGGCGCCUGGGAUACCUCUCCAUCCCUUGCCCGUUCUAUUGCACCAGUGGUCCUUUGUUGCUUUGGACUUUUUUACUGGACUUCUCACUUCUAAGGGACACACAGUCAUUCUUUCAUUUUCCAAGUUCACCAAUUUUGUUCUUUUUGCCAAAAUUACCCGGGAUAGGUUCCAGCAUGCCCCCGUGACCCUAGUGAGGAUAAGCGGUAUAGAAAAUGGAUGGAUGGAUGGGAGACUGCCAGAUUGUCCGUAUACCAUGUUCCGCCUCCACACCAU